This is a non-coding RNA of Peromyscus maniculatus bairdii (prairie deer mouse), 1520 nucleotides long. Lineage: Eukaryota; Metazoa; Chordata; Mammalia; Rodentia; Cricetidae. The record is from RefSeq and is a predicted model, not a curated record.
UUUCUCGAUUCCGAGGCUAAAUCCUGACGGUGGUGAAACUGAGGCUCUAAGGAAGAGUCCCAAGUGGAAGUACCCCGAAGGGCCAGGCUCUGAGGCCUCCACUUGGCAAGUCCAGCUGCUCUGGGUUGGAAUAGAAACAAGACUUCCAGAGAUCCAGGGCACUGCACGCAGCUGCUGUUAUUGAUGGAUGCUCACGGGUAAUGAACUUCAGUGACCCGAGUAAUUACAGGCCAGUGAUGGACCCAGAUUUCAGAUUCGCUUCUGCUUUCUGCCUGUCAUGGUGAGGAAUGGCCAGGCCUCCAGAGUUCCUGCCCAGAUGAGGCUGUGGAGAAAGGGUCCCUCACCGCCCUGCCUCUGUGGAAGUGGCGUAGAGAACAGCUCAACUUCUCAGGCAUUUUCCCUCGAGACUUCUCAGAGGAAGCAGGUUAGCUGAGCAGUCGGAAGGGUCUGGAGUUAAUCCUGGCUGCCUCUCUCUCUGCUGGGAAGCCCUAGGUAAGCUGCUCCCUCUCCGUGCUUACCGAUGACGAUGAUGGCUGAACCGAGGGACUCGGCUGCUACGGAGGCUGACGUUCCUCUUCUGACCACCGUGCCUGGAUUCCGUGUCUCUGGUUCUCCCCUCCUGGACAGGAUCCAUGGCUCACCGUAGCGGUGUGUGACUAGGAGUUCCUGCCCUAGGCCUGGUUGGGCUGGUUCCCUCCAGGUCUGAGCUGCCUGCCGGCCAAGCCGCUGUGCCAACCUCCACGAAGGGAGGCCCGGCCAGCCACAGAAGAGAGUUCAUGAGCGCGGAGUUAAACUCCAUUUCCUUUAGCAGAGGGAGCCGUGCCCGCCUGGGCCAGGUGCCAGGCCAGAGUGCAGCUGGCAGAGAGCUGCCAUGGCCACACCUGCUCCUAAUGCCUACAGUGUGCAGCCAUGCGUGGAGCCAGACUUCUGCUGCCAGCGCCGAGGGCGUCCACUCUGAAGCUCAUUGUGCCGACGGGCAGAAUGAAGCUCGGCUUGACAAGACGCCUCUCAACGAUGCCAACAUCCGAGGCCGGACUUGGGCCGCUUCUCCCAUCCCUCCUUUCAUGCAUUUUUUUGUUUCUUCCCCGUCCUCUUGGGAACUCAGCGCUCACCAAGGGCUUUUGGGCUCCCGAGACGGCGCAGUGUGGUUCUCGUGCAAGCUUGAGGACCUGAGUUCAAGACCCAGAACUGGUGUGAAGAGAAGAUGGGUGUGGCCUCAUGCUCCGGGGACCCCAGGGCUGGGGAGGUGGAGACAGGAGGAUCCAUGGGGUGCCCUGGCCAGUCAGUCUCGCCUAAUGUCCUGGAGUGGCAAAGUCCCUGUCUCAACCAAAUAAAGUGGAUCUGGGCACGGUGUGCACAUCUUAAAUCCCAGCACGCAGGGAGCAGAGAUGAGAGGAUCAGCCUGGGCUACAAAGUAAGACUCGGUCUCAACAAACACCCAAUCAGACAAGUGAACAAAACCCUGUAAGACACUCAAGGAACAAAUGAUGACACCCAAGGAACAAAUGACAUCAUUCCUC